This 312-nucleotide small RNA is filed under the name Histoplasma capsulatum. RNAcentral describes it as "hypothetical RNA". RNAcentral also lists the same sequence under 1 other name. The record is from RNAcentral. Lineage: Eukaryota; Fungi; Ascomycota; Eurotiomycetes; Onygenales; Ajellomycetaceae.
ACACACAUACCCCCACCCCUCCCCGCGCAGCUCACGAAACAGCAGACCUCAAAACCCUCGCGGCCAACUCUCCCAGCAACCGGGCCUUAUCCUCCGCCGGCAACGCCUGAAAAACCUCAUAAACGCUCUUCCCCUUCGCAUCCCUCACCGCUCCAAGUCGAUUCCCCGCAACCGCGCCGGCCACCGCCCCCGCCAGAUUCGCAACAAUGAAUCCCAGCGCCGCCCCACUCAGGCCGCCCACAACUGCCCAGAACCGGCCCGUCGGCCGCGUCCUCCCGCCAUCGUCCUCCGCCAGCCCUUCCUCGCGCAGCA